Molecule: long non-coding RNA, 244 nt
Organism: Achroia grisella
Lineage: Eukaryota; Metazoa; Arthropoda; Insecta; Lepidoptera; Pyralidae
Exons: 3
Source: RefSeq, a predicted model, not a curated record
AACUACACGAUUUUUUACAAUUUGGUGUUUUACAAUUGCAUCAAUGCACCUGGUUGAGAUUCACAUGCAGACGAUAUAAGACAUCGACAUAAUCAGAGUUGGUAUUCCAUGUGUCAGAAAAAGAGUUGAACGAAUACAAGGUAUUUAAACUCAUUAGUUGGAACCCGAAGCAAUAAAGACUCGCUUGCGUAAUCGUUAACUUUAGACCCAGAUGGUGGAGUAAUAAGAACGACCUAAAGGGAUA